UCCUAAUUAGCUCAGUUGGUGGAGCGCUCCACUUCAAAUGGAGAGGUCCCUGGUACGAUACCAGGAUCAUGUG
RNAcentral lists this transfer RNA (73 nucleotides) under Ixodes scapularis (black-legged tick). It matches the Rfam family "tRNA". From Rfam's summary of the family: Transfer RNA (tRNA) molecules are approximately 80 nucleotides in length. Their secondary structure includes four short double-helical elements and three loops (D, anti-codon, and T loops). The record is from Rfam by way of RNAcentral. Lineage: Eukaryota; Metazoa; Arthropoda; Arachnida; Ixodida; Ixodidae.